Molecule: ribosomal RNA, 492 nt
Filed under: uncultured bacterium
Lineage: Bacteria
Description: partial 16S ribosomal RNA
Rfam family: Bacterial small subunit ribosomal RNA
Source: RNAcentral
AGUGAACGCUGGCGGUAGGCCUAACACAUGCAAGUCGAACGGCAGCACAGUAAGAGCUUGCUCUUACGGGUGGCGAGUGGCGGACGGGUGAGGAAUACAUCGGAAUCUACUUUUUCGUGGGGGAUAACGUAGGGAAACUUACGCUAAUACCGCAUACGACCUACGGGUGAAAGCAGGAGAUCUUCGGACCUUGCGCGAUUGAAUGAGCCGAUGUCGGAUUAGCUAGUUGGCGGGGUAAAGGCCCACCAAGGCGACGAUCCGUAGCUGGUCUGAGAGGAUGAUCGGCCACACUGGAACUGAGACACGGUCCGGACUCCUACGGGAGGCAGCAGUGGGGAAUAUUGGACAAUGGGCGCAAGCCUGAUCCAGCCAUACCGCGUGGGUGAAGAAGGCCUUCGGGUUGUAAAGCCCUUUUGUUGGGAAAGAAAAGCAGCAGGUUAAUACCCCGCUGUUCUGACGGUACCCAAAGAAUAAGCACCGGCUAACUUCGUG